Molecule: ribosomal RNA, 492 nt
Filed under: uncultured bacterium
Lineage: Bacteria
Description: partial 16S ribosomal RNA
Rfam family: Bacterial small subunit ribosomal RNA
Source: RNAcentral
AGUGAACGCUGGCGGUAGGCCUAACACAUGCAAGUCGAACGGCAGCACAGUAAGAGCUUGCUCUUACGGGUGGCGAGUGGCGGACGGGUGAGGAAUACAUCGGAAUCUACUUUUUCGUGGGGGAUAACGUAGGGAAACUUACGCUAAUACCGCAUACGACCUACGGGUGAAAGCAGGGGAUCUUCGCACCUUGCGCGAUUGAAUGAGCCGAUGCCGGAUUAGCUAGUUGGCGGGGUAAAGGCCCACCAAGGCAACGACCCGUAGCCGGCUGGAGAGGAUGAUCAGCCACACUGGAACUGGACACCGGUCAGAACUCCUACGGGAGGCAGCAGAGGGGAAUAUUGGACAAUGGGCGCAGGCCUGCUCCAGACAUACCGCGUGGGUGAAGAGGGCCUUCGGGUUGUAAAGCCCUUUUGUUGGGAAAGAAAAGCAGCAGGUUAAUACCCCGCUGUUCUGACGGUACCCGAAGAAUAAGCACCGGCUAACUUCGUG